AAGCUUUUAGUUGUUUUAUGACUUUUCCCCCUCCUGUUGCCAUAGAGGGGCUGUGAACUCAUUACUUAUAAAUUUAGCCUCCACCUGGUUUCCACUAAAGUCAGAAGGCUAGCAUCUUCACUCAGAGGUUUAAGUGCACACGGUAGGGCGUAGUUGACCUACUGCCUUCACCAUCUCCAUCUGCUUCUCUUUGCCUCCAUCCCCCAUGGCCACUGCCACCAAUGCCUGCC
Molecule: long non-coding RNA, 230 nt
Filed under: Homo sapiens (human)
Lineage: Eukaryota; Metazoa; Chordata; Mammalia; Primates; Hominidae
Description: HSALNT0147490
Source: RNAcentral